This 509-nucleotide ribosomal RNA is filed under the name Chrysolina fastuosa. RNAcentral's name for it is "16S ribosomal RNA". Lineage: Eukaryota; Metazoa; Arthropoda; Insecta; Coleoptera; Chrysomelidae. The record is from RNAcentral.
UGUAAAAUUUUAAAGGUCGAACAGACCUAAUAUUUUAGCUUCUACACCAAAAAUUUAUUUUAAUCCAACAUCGAGGUCGCAAUCUUUUUUUUUAAUAUGAACUUUAUAAAAAAAUUACGCUGUUAUCCCUAAGGUAAUUUUAUCUUAUAAUCAAAAAUAUUGGRUCAUAUAUUCAUAAAUUAAUGUUUUUAAAUAAAAAAAGUUAAUUAAAUUUUUCAAUCACCCCAAUUAAAUUUUCCAAUAAAAUAAAUAAAUAAAUACUAAAAUAUAAUUUUUAUUAAAAAAUUAAACUCUAUAGGGUCUUCUCGUCUUUUAAUAUUAUUUAAGCUUUUUAACUUAAAAAUAAAAUUCUACUUAAAUUUAACAGAGACAGCUAUUUUUUUAUUCGACCUUUCAUUCCAGUUUUUAAUUAAAAAACUAAUGAUUAUGCUACCUUAGCACGGUCAAAAUACCACGGCCAUUUAAAAUUUCAGUGGGCAGGUCAGACCUUAAAUUAUUAACAAAAGGAC